RNAcentral lists this ribosomal RNA (266 nucleotides) under uncultured bacterium. Its description in RNAcentral is "partial 16S ribosomal RNA". It matches the Rfam family "Bacterial small subunit ribosomal RNA", at positions 793 to 1055 of the family's 1533-position model. The record is from RNAcentral.
GUCCACGCCGUAAACGAUGGGCACUAGGUGCCUGGGGGAGCGACCCUCCGGGUGCCGGCGCUAACGCAUUAAGUGCCCCGCCUGGGGGAGUACGGCCGCAAGGCUGAAACUCAAAGGAAUUGACGGGGGCCCGCACAAGCGGUGGAGCAUGUGGUUUAAUUCGACGCAACGCGAAGAACCUUACCUGGGCUUGACAUGCACGGGAAACCCUCCAGAAACGGGGGGCCCUCUUCGGAGUCCGUGCACAGGUGCUGCAUGGCUGUCGU